This 253-nucleotide ribosomal RNA is filed under the name uncultured bacterium. RNAcentral's name for it is "partial 16S ribosomal RNA". It matches the Rfam family "Bacterial small subunit ribosomal RNA", at positions 524 to 776 of the family's 1533-position model. The record is from RNAcentral.
UACGUAGGGAGCAAGCGUUGUCCGGAAUCAUUGGGCGUAAAGCGCGUGUAGGCGGCUUGGUAAGUCCGCUCUGAAAGCCCGGGGCUCAACCCCGGGAGGCGGGUGGAUACUGUCAAGCUCGAGUCCGGAAGAGGCGAGUGGAAUUCCCGGUGUAGCGGUGAAAUGCGCAGAUAUCGGGAGGAACACCAAUGGCGAAGGCAGCUCGCUGGGACGUGACUGACGCUGAGACGCGAAAGCGUGGGGAGCAAACAGG